ACGCUCGACACCUACGGGGGAGCAGCAGUUGGGAAUAUUGGACAAUGGAGGAAACUCUGAUCCAGUGACGCCGCGUGAAGGAAGAAGGUCUUCGGAUUGUAAACUUAUUUUGUCAGGGAAGAAAAAUGACUGUACCUGAAGAAAAAGCACCGGCUAACUACGUGCCAGCAGCCGCGGUAAUCUGAGCGGGCUGGCAAGGC
Molecule: ribosomal RNA, 200 nt
Filed under: uncultured bacterium
Lineage: Bacteria
Description: partial 16S ribosomal RNA
Rfam family: Bacterial small subunit ribosomal RNA
Source: RNAcentral